AAGAUGACUUGAAGACACAUUAACACAAAAUAAUAACUUCACAAAUUCCUUCAUGGGGAAAGUAAAAAACAAGGAUGAUAUGGAGCAGAAGAAAUAGUGCCAUGAACCAAAAAUGUGUAAGAAAAAUCCCAUCCAGAUUAAAAAUGUGGAACUACGACUAAAACCCAGAGAGAUGGAAGAUGUAACUACAACAAGAAAAGCUGCUAAGCAAGCAAAGAAAGUUAAGGACUGGUCAGAUAAUGAAGAAAUGAAGCUCAUGGAUUUUAGCUGAAGAAUCUAACCAACCUUCAUCAGAGGUUAGCACAGCAGUUUAACAACUUAUUGCAAACCACUUUUAUUGACAACAGGAUGACAAAUGGAAGAACACUACUGAUUAUGAAAGAUGAGGGGGGAAAGGAGCUGUUCCAGCAAAUUACUAUCCAAUUACCUGUUUGCCAACAAUGUUUAAAUUAUUAACUGGAAUAAUAGCUAGUUCAGUCCAGUCCCAUUUAAUUGAGAAUUCUCUUUAUCCCAAAGAGCAGAAAGCUAAUUGCCCCAAUUCUCAAGGAACAAAAGAUUGACUAUUAAUUGAUAAAAUGUUACUGAAACAAUAUAAAAGAUGACAACAAAUCUGUACAUAGCACCAAUUUACUACAAAAAGCAUUUGAUUCUUUGCCACAUACCUGCAUUGAAAAGUGCUUACUUUUUUAGGAAUCAGCAAAAACAUCAGAAAAUCCUAUUCAGUGUUAAUUAAAUUAUGGGGCCCUAUGUUAACAGUAAAUGAACAAUUCGGCAAAUUAAUAUUAUGUUUGACUUUUUUCAGGGUGACUCCUUGUCUUCUUUGGACUCAUUAUUGCAGUAGCACCACUCUCAGUAAUACUGAAGGGGAAAAAAAUCAAGGAUAUGAAAUAUCAAAUUAAGCGGUUAUGAGUAAAUCAACAGGUGGGCAAGAGCUAUAGAAUCUUUGCAUUCCAGUAUUUGAAAAGAGCCACACAACAUCUACAUCCAUUUUUGAUGUAGCACAUCUGGGGAAGAAGCAAAAGCAGCAGAAAGCCAAAGAAAGGCGGUGUGGUGCCAGAACUUAAAGGUUAUUCUGUGUCAAGGCUACAGCAUGUCAAGACUUUGAAUUCUGUAUCUUGUAUUGUAUCAGAAAAAAUAUUGUCACCUCUCAUUGUAACCAUUCACUCAAGGCUGUCACGAUGCAUUUUCGUACAUAGCAGUGGAGUGGUUUAAUAGUGAAUCUUUGACACACUUUAUGUGUAGCCACCACAAAUAAAUGUAUUGUAUACUACAGACACAGUACCAACCCCCAUUCAAUAAUUACUGAGAAUAUACCAAGUGUUUUCCCUAUCUGCUCCUGUUUUGACAUCAAUAUUUCAAACAUAUGAUUAUGUGUUCUUGGGAAAGAUAGAUAGAUUCCAGCAAAUUGGGAACCCUGAAAUGAACAGAAUAACAUCAUAAAGCUAGAUGUGAGGACACAAGGGAAAGCAAAAAAUGUCAAUGAGAAACAGACAAUGCCUUUUGGAUUAGUCACAUAAUUGAUGCCCACUGGUCAGGGCUCACUCACUGAAAGUGAUGAAGUCCCCUUGAUAUGUCCAUCUUCAGUGAGGAAAUCACUAAGAGUAAGUGAAGCAGGGAGGGAGAGGGGGAAAGGACCACGGCAUCAUUUAUGUGAUCAUUUUUAUAACUACAGUAGAGUCUCACUUAUCCAACAUAAACGGGCCGGCAGAAUGUUGGAUAAGCGAAUAUGUUGGAUAAUAAGGAGGGAUUAAGGAAAAGCCUAUUAAACAUCAAAAUAGGUUAUGAUUUUACAAAUGAAGCACCAAAACAUCAUGUUAUACAACAACUUUGACAGAAAAAGUAGUUCAAUUAGCAGUAGUGCUAUGUUGUAAUUACUGUAUUUACGAAUUUAGCACCAAAAUAUCACGAUUUAUUGAAAACAUUGACUACAAAAAUGCGUUGGAUAAUCCAGAACGUUGGAUAAGCGAGUGUUGGAUAAGUGAGACUCUACUGUACUACCAAAAAAUAAUUGAAAGUUGAAACAUUUUUAAACACUGUUCAAAAUGUUACUGAAAGACAGUUUAUAGUUCACUUCACUAUUUCUACUAAUUAUCCAAAACCAUCAUAAGAUGUUUUGUUGUGCGACAUAAAGGACAAAAGGGAACCAAUUCAUCUAGCUCCAUUCCAUGAACAAAAGCAAUUUCAACCAUAAGUUUAAUUUGCUGGUUUAACUGCUAGUAAGAGGACAGCAUCUUCAACACAGAAGUGCAGCUAGGAAGAUUUAGCAGAGGCCCUAAUGUGCUGUAUUCUUCUUAUGGAAUGUCUUCUCACCCAUUCUACAUUCUGCUUUUGUGGAAUCAGACAGGUACUGUACUGACAUCACAAUUUUAUAUCAAGUAACUCAAGAUAGGCUGUUAGGAAUUGUGGAAGUUGAAGUACAAAACACUUGGAGGGCUGAAUUUUGCCCAUGUCUGCUCUAACAGAUGCACCAUGUUUAUGUCAAUUCUGACCACCAUCACGGAAGGUAUGGAAGAAAAAAAAUCUUAAUAUUUAUAAACUGCAAUGCAACUGUUGCCCUUCAGGUGGUUUUGGACUAGAGUUCCCACAAUCCUUCUUUUUGGCUAUUCUGCUGAAGGUUGCUGGGAACGAUAUUCCCCCAAACAUCUGAAAGCUUCAGUUGCUCGCUAUACAUACACUACAGCUAUUUUUCCAAUUUUUUCAGAUUCUACCCCUUCAGAAAGAUUAAGUAUGUGUAAUCUUCAUUAGGUUCUUCCUUAAAACAUUGCAUACUUUCUAAAAUACAACAGUCUUUACUUACAGAAGAUAUAGGUAUGCUUAUAUUUGAAAUCUUCAUGAUUUAGCCACUCAGAAGGGGUUUGUUGGUCUUCUGGUUGUUUCCAGCUUAUGUUGAUCCUAAACUAAACUAAACAUUUUUUUUCUCCUUCGAAAGAUUUUUUCAGAAGAGAUUUGCCACUCCCUUCCUCCAAAACUGGAAGAGUAUGACUUGCCUAAAGUUAUACAGUGGAUUUCCUUGACUGUGCACAGGUGUGCAACUCGGUCUUCCAGCAUCUACUUCAACAUUCCAACAAUUACUAAGCAUGAUUCAACUGAAGGAGGAGAAAGAUGGUAGUUGUUACAUGCCUUUGAGGCAACUCUGCACUAUGUUGACCCUACUUCUUAAGAAGAUUUGUUCAGACAGGGGUUGCCAUGGCCUUCUUCUUUGACUGAGAGUGAGACUCAUCCAAGUUCACCCAGUGGUGUUUCACAGCUGAGCCCUUUACGUGAAACAUGUUUUCCCAGAGUCCUAGUCCAGCAUUCAAACCACUGCACCAUACUAGCUAUAGAAGAACAUUUACAACCAUUUAUUGUUUACAAUUAAUGUAGAGGAAUAACGGUUGAGAUGUUCUGAAGUAAAAUGUGAGUUGGAAAAAAAAGCCCUAAACCCAAUCCAAUUUCUGAAACCCCAAAACAGGAUUGAAACACAAACUAGCCUUUGGUGCACAAUCCUAUUUCACAUUCUUCAGAAAUAUUUUGAAUGACGGUAUUUCAUUUCAUUGCUAAUGACAAGGCAAUAGCAAUAGCAAUGUGCAUGCAAAUUUAUGCGUGUACUGUGUACUGAUUUGCUCAUUCAUCAGGGGCUUUAUAGGCAAGUUUAAAUUAGCUUUCUGCUCCUGGUACACUGAAUGUAUCAUCUCCUUGAGGAUAAAAAUAGAAAGGUGACAAACAAUAUAGCUACUCUGUUGGCCUGCUACAUAAUAGUUUCCUUGAGGUUAUUAACUUUUGGAUGGCUUUAAAUUGAGGUUUAAGAGAUACCUUGUAAGAAAAGGAAAUGAACUAAUAUCUCGAUUGUAAAAUUACUGUUUUAGGUCAAGCAAAGUACUAAGUUUGAUAACAUGAUUUAAUAUGACAAUAAUGGUACAUUAAGGCUUUAUGAGAUUUUUAACUUGAUAUUAUAUUCUGUCUGCUAACAUAUCAAUCUACAGCCAUUCAGAGAGAAAGAGAGAGAGAAAUUACAUUUUCCUUGUGAACACUCAGGGUAAAAUUCCCCUCUUUGAUCUGCUCUGUGGGAGUCCUUCCUACAAUCCCAUGAGUUUAGUCAUUCUAAUAAUGCACUUAGGGAUGCUUAUUAAACUUUAAAGUUGUAGUGGCAGCAGGACAUAGUGCCACAAUUUCUGGAUCACAUUGCACCAUAGAAGCAGGGUGAAUUAACUCAUUGUACCUGGUGGAAUACUUCAGCUGAUUCUGAAAAACCUCAGAGAAUGAAAACGGGGACAAACGAGAGUGCCCAAGAGUAAAAGCCCUCAAUGGGUUUCCAAGAGCACAAUAGGGUUACAUUUGUUACAUUUACAAAAUACCCAAUAUGUCGUGUUCUCAUGUUGCUCAGUGGUGUUCUUCUUUAGGAAAGAGGUUGUUUGAAAAUGCCUUUUUCAAAUUGCCAUCCCAAUAAGCUUGCCAGUCAUUCUCUUCAAAAUGACAUGCCCUUGAAUGACCCCCCAUUAGGAAAGUGUGGAAUGAUUCUAGUGAGUUAGUACACUAAAGGUAAGGCAAAGAAAUGUGAGGGGAAAGAGUUCCAUAUUUUAAAUCAGUUGUCAAAAUGGAAAAUGAUCAUGAAUUAUAGACUUCCUUACUUCUUUGUUUAAAAAGUGAUUGGUAAGUAAUUAAAUGAUGGAUUUUGGAAUUUUCUGGGAACUGGGAGGGAAAAUCCAGAAUACAUAUACGCCAUUUCACAUAAGUGCACAGUGAGAUACACAGCACAUCUACAUUAUAAAAUUAAAGCAAUUUGAGACCACUUUAACUGCCAUUUCUCAAUGCUAAGGGCUCAUGAGAAUUACAGGUUUAGACUUCUUUGCCAAAGAAUGCCAGUUCCUCACCAAACUACUAAUCCCAUUAUGUCAUAGUAACUCUACAGUGUAGAUUAUCUAAUGAAUACAUUCCCUUUUCAGUACUCCUACUCCUAAGGUUUGGAGAAUACUUUGGGUUCCAUAUUAGGCAAAAAAUGGUAGGUAAAUAAAAUAAAAUAAUAAACUGUUGAACUCAUCUUCUGGAAAUCCAUUCAAACGCAAUCAAUGGAAGAAUAUACUAGAACACUGCUUUAAAAAGUGUAUGAUGGAAUGAUUGAAAUACUUUGUAUAUUUUGAAAUUACAGGUCAAGCAUUCCUUCUCAGGAAAUCCAAAACUGAAAUACAGUAGAGCCCCACUUAUCCGCCUUUGCCACCCUCCCUCACUCUCGCUCAUUCACUCACUCACCGGGCUGGGUCCUGGUUCUACACUUGCUGCUGGGAGGCGGCCCAGUGAGUGACCCAAUGAGCGAGGGAGGGUGAGGGGAAGCAAAGGAGCAGUGGCAACACUGCCCCCGCCGCUUGUCUUCUUCCUCCUCCUCUCCCUCCAGAGCCAGCCUGCUGGAGGAAGAGGACAAGUGAGGCUUGGAUGGUGCCCCGCCACCAUUCCUCGCAAUCCCUCUCCUCUUCUGCGUGUGUAAAUCUUUGCUUAUUUUGUUCUCACAUCAGGCAAUUAAAAAUUUCAAACAUUUUCUUCACACUCAUCAAAAUUACAAUAUAGUAUAUUUGUGGCAAAAAUGUUCAAAAACGUUUUUAAACCAAGCAUAUAGAUUUUAUACAAUAAAAGGCUUUUUGCCACCCAGCUUUCUUUUUUGUGCAGAACUUGGUCUGACAUCUUAAUAAAUGACUUACAGUCAUGUAAGUUAAAAUAUUAUCAUUUAUAAGCCAUUGCAGAAGUUGAUUUUUUUUUAGUGUCAUCACACAAUUACACAAAUGGCCCAACUUGCUUUUCAGCGGCUUUAGCCCUCACUCAAUGGUGAUUCAGUGACAGUUGGGGAAUCGAGGAUAUCUGUCCUAUAGUCACAUGGAAAACAAUGACAUUAUGCUGUGGCGCAAGCUGGUGAGCAGCUAGCUGAGACCAAUCACUCUGACCAAGAGGUCAUGAGUUCGAGGCCAGCUUGGAGCCUGCAUUUGUCUUGUCUUUGUUCUAUGUCAAGGCAUUGAAUGUUUGCCUAUAUGUGUAAUGUGAUCCGCCCUGAGUCCCCUUCGGGGUGAGAAGGGCAGAAUAUAAAUGCUGUAAAUAAAUAAUAAAUAAAUUAUUCAUUAGAGAA
Anolis carolinensis (green anole) is the source of this 6088-nucleotide long non-coding RNA. RefSeq lists it as uncharacterized. The transcript is spliced from 2 exons. Lineage: Eukaryota; Metazoa; Chordata; Lepidosauria; Squamata; Anolidae. The record is from RefSeq and is a predicted model, not a curated record.